GAGCGUGCGCUAGUUGAUAGGUUUACUUUGCAGAGGUAAUUUAAAGGUUUUUUCCUUCGCGCUUU
Molecule: transfer RNA, 65 nt
Filed under: Apharyngostrigea pipientis
Lineage: Eukaryota; Metazoa; Platyhelminthes; Trematoda; Diplostomida; Strigeidae
Description: tRNA-Cys
Source: RNAcentral